Molecule: long non-coding RNA, 210 nt
Filed under: Musa acuminata (dwarf banana)
Lineage: Eukaryota; Viridiplantae; Streptophyta; Magnoliopsida; Zingiberales; Musaceae
Description: long non-coding RNA (MACU_LNC003369)
Source: RNAcentral
UGUAGCUGUAGUAUUAUCCUUUGACUCUGUAGACUCCACUUCUUUUCCCUUUUUCUUGUUCUUUUUAGGUUGCUUACAUUGGUUCUUGUAAUGUCCUUUCUCAUCACAGUUAUAGCAAACAAUAUCUUUUCUUGAUCUUGACUUGCUUCUACCCAUGCGUGAAUUGCUUCUAGAUUUUGACCUUCCUCUAUUCUCUGAGAUAAGUGCUUG